Molecule: long non-coding RNA, 404 nt
Filed under: Musa acuminata (dwarf banana)
Lineage: Eukaryota; Viridiplantae; Streptophyta; Magnoliopsida; Zingiberales; Musaceae
Description: long non-coding RNA (MACU_LNC002555)
Source: RNAcentral
UGGUGCCUUUCCUAAUUAACUGCUUCAUUGUCUGCUCAUCUGGCUCGAUUCCUUCUAGAUACUUUUCCAUUACUUCAUCAUCUAAUUCAACGAUAGUCUCUAUCAACUGGUUUCUGUACUCUUGAGCAAUUUCUUGGAGAUCAGCAGGUAUGUCCUCAUAGACAAAUUUUGCACCAAGUUCCUCGCCUGACCAGAUAAUAGCUUUCAUUUUCAGCAGAUCUACAACUCCUUGAAAUUUGUCUUCUGCACCGACAGGCAACUGAAUGACUAAAGGUCUUGCGCCUAAGUUUGUAACUAUCAUAUCCCUUGUUCGGAAAAAGUUAGCUCCAAGACGAUCCAUCUUGUUGACAAAACAUAUUCUGGGGACCCCAUAUUUGUCAGCUUGUCUCCAAACAGUCUCAGAU